Molecule: small RNA, 2617 nt
Filed under: Histoplasma capsulatum
Lineage: Eukaryota; Fungi; Ascomycota; Eurotiomycetes; Onygenales; Ajellomycetaceae
Also listed under: 1 other name
Description: hypothetical RNA
Source: RNAcentral
CCACCAAGAUGUGAUAAUAUCCUUUUUGGAGAAGAUGGGAUUCAAACCCACUACCUUGUCUCAGCAGUGGUGGCCCCAACACCAAGUGCCUACUUGAGAAAGCAUUCCAUGCACAGCGCUUACCACUACGCCAUCCACCCCAAGAGCGGCCGAACUGCGAGGGAGGAGUCUGCAUAACCCUUUGUAGGGAUAAUUAAGCUUUUGUAACCAUCUUCAACUCUUUCCUUGCUACAUUCGACUAGACGACCCCCGCCGAGGAACGAAAAAUCGAGAACUUGACGCAAGGUUCGACACCCGCCCCCCCCAACACUGUUUCCAGUCUUUUCCCCCAGGAGACAGAACCAAAUCUAUCCGAUCUCGUAUAAAGUAUCCUGGACGUUAUCUCCGGAGCGAUUCAAGUUCCAUCUCAACGGCCGGCUCCGUAACGUGUUCUUGCAUGGAUCAUGGCCUGCUAGUGGCAUCGGCCCGAAAAACGAAAAGUGAUCAACGGUGGAGAAUAUCGCAGUACAGAGCACAUUCAUUUAAUGCGCGUGAUGCCGAUACCAGUCCCAGCAGGAGAGCUGAACUGAAUCGACAUUGUCAAAGCUCCCGGCAUCCUUCCGCCUGAACAAGUCGAUGCUGACGAUAUUACGGAUGGAUGACAUUUUGCAUACAGAUGUGCUUACGGGCGGAUUGCCAAAACUCUAAAAACGAAAACAAAACUUUCUACGUAUAAAAAUUGGCGAAAAUCCACCAACUCCAGACAAUCAUAUUAUCAUAGCAAUGUCCAGGAAUCGAUUUAAGAUGGGUCAAUAGCUAAAAGAAGCGCGAAUAAUAACUUAAAACUAACCAUAAAAGUAAAAAAAGGGGCUCGCAGGUUGAGAUAUCAUACGUUGGCAAUAUAUUCAUUUCGCUCAAAUUUUCUCGUUCUGCUUUUGUUCGACUCGGGUAUGUUAAUUCUUUUGCAUUCGCUGUCAAACAACUAAGAAGUGGACAAGGGUAUAUAUAGGUGAAAUAUAUGUACAUAUACAGAUGGCAGGGGAGAGGAGAGUAUCGAUAGGAGGAGGGGAGAUUUAGCUGGGAGGCCGCUGAGUAGAGUGGUAUGUAAUGUGGCAGAGAUGUCAAUUUUUUUUAUUUAUUAUUUAUUUAUUUAUUUUUUUUUAAAAAUUUUUUUUCCCCACCUUCUUUUCCUCCGCUUCUUUUUUCUUGUCCGUCUGGUCACCACGGUUGGCCGGUCUCGUCCAAUGGGAAAGUAAAAAAAAUAUCAUCCCAAAUAUUUCCCAGAACAGCAAGUUCGUCGGGCUGGAACAUGAAUUGCAUAUUCUGGUUCGACAUAAAGGCCUGUUGAGGAUCCAUUUCCGCAUGCUGUGGAUUUCCAAUCCCACCUGGGUCCGCGGGAACGUAACCCUGAGUCGGAUUCUGGGGGUUCUGGUUAUGGGAUGGGCCCUGGGACGAUAAAGGUAGGUUUGGCGCUGUGGGGAAAAUACCCAUGCCCGCGGAGGGCGGGAAGGGGGUCCAGUGAUCACUCUGGGAGACUGUGUUACUAGCAGCGUCGGAAGUGGCGGUUGAUGGUGGGUGGUUCGGGAGAGAAGUGGGAUGUGCAUCGGUGCGGAUAUUCUGAGGGGAUAAGUUUGAAGGGCUGUGGUGGGAGUGUUGGGUCUCUGGACCACCCACGGUUGUGUGAGUCUGGAGAUGUAAGGGUGUUGGUUCUGAGUUACUAGUAUCCUGAGGUGAAAUAGAUAUAUCAGUUUCUUAAGUUUUCAUAAAACAAACCUACAUGAGAAAUACUGAUGGUUUCUUGGGAAUUCAAACUCUCAAAACACAAACGGAAGACAACUACAAAAAUCCCAGUACGAACCAGAUUCUGCUUCGCGCUCUGUGAUUCCGAUUCCCGUGGCUCCGGUGCCAAAUACGCCCGAAUAUCUUUCGGUUGGAAAAAGUUGUACGGGGGACCACUACCCGUAAUUGGCUUUCCUUCCUUCCGCUUAAUAAACCAAGUUUUUAACAUCCCCAACAUCAGGGCGAAUCUGGAUGUUACCCGUCCGGAAAUACGAUCCCCAGAGUCCUUCAAUUGUGCAAUGACCUUGGUGAGGAAGUAUUCAAUCUUGAAGUCUGUUGGAUUGAAUACUUGACCCAAUCGAGUGGCAGGAUACGACGCGGCGGUAUGUAGUUUGAUAAGAGCGACAGAGGCGUAUGCUGUACGGACGAAGUGGAUGGUGGGGAUAGAUUGGAUAGUUAAAUAAUCGAGGGAGAUAAACGUCUCAAAUGCGUCAUGGAUGGACGUGAGACAGACGGUUAGUGCGUCGACGUGGGCGGGGGUUCCCAAGUCGAUCGGAUUUUCGGUGCUAAGGCUAUUUAAAAAAGGAGGUUUGAAAUCGUCGAUAUUGUGGUCGGCGUGCAUGCCGAUUUCAUGCAUGUAGACGUUGAGAAUGAGCUGGUAGUAGUGCAUGAUAGGAGAAUAGCACUCGGGCGGAACCUCUUUUCGCCAUUCCGCCAACCGUCUUUCGAAUCCCUUUAAAGCAUACUGACUUUUGGGGUCCGUUAUGUCAACGUUCGUAACGGGAUCAUCCAUUGAAAACUGGAACAGGACCUCUUCGCCAAGGUGAGCCAGUUUCACCCAUUGAACGAGUGUUUUAUC